Coregonus clupeaformis (lake whitefish) is the source of this 107-nucleotide long non-coding RNA. RefSeq lists it as uncharacterized. The record is from RefSeq and is a predicted model, not a curated record. Lineage: Eukaryota; Metazoa; Chordata; Actinopteri; Salmoniformes; Salmonidae. The transcript is spliced from 2 exons.
UUGUCUGUAUGUCUAAAACUGUACAUGUCAACAUGUUUACACAGGGCACAGCCGUAAAAGAGAUCCAGGUCUCAGUCUGUUUUUCCCUGUUAAAAUAAAGAUUUAAA